This 500-nucleotide ribosomal RNA is filed under the name uncultured bacterium. RNAcentral describes it as "partial 16S ribosomal RNA". It matches the Rfam family "Bacterial small subunit ribosomal RNA", at positions 29 to 523 of the family's 1533-position model. The record is from RNAcentral.
AUUGAACGCUGGCGGAAUGCUUUACACAUGCAAGUCGAACGGCAGCACGGGGGCAACCCUGGUGGCGAGUGGCGAACGGGUGAGUAAUACAUCGGAACGUGCCCAGUCGUGGGGGAUAACGUAGCGAAAGGUACGCUAAUACAGCAUACGAUCUCAGGAUGAAAGAGGGGGACCGUAAGGCCUCGCGCGAUUGGAGCGGCAGAUGACAGAUUCGGUAGUUGGUGAGGUAAAGGCUCACCAAGACUGCGAUCUGUAGCUGGUCUGAGAGGACGACCAGCCACACGGGGACUUAGACACGGCCCAGACUCCUACGGGAGGCAGCAGUGGGGAAUUUUGGACAAUGGGCGCAAGCCUGAUCCAGCCAUUCCGCGUGCAGGACGAAGGCCUUCGGGUUGUAAACUGCUUUUGUACGGAACGAAAAGCCUUGGGCUAAUACCCCGAGGUCAUGACGGUACCGUAAGAAUAAGCACCGGCUAACUACGUGCCAGCCGCCGCCGUAA